RNAcentral lists this non-coding RNA (28 nucleotides) under Homo sapiens (human). Lineage: Eukaryota; Metazoa; Chordata; Mammalia; Primates; Hominidae. The record is from RNAcentral.
UGUCUAUGUCUAUCCUCAUUCCUCCCUC